Molecule: long non-coding RNA, 581 nt
Filed under: Homo sapiens (human)
Lineage: Eukaryota; Metazoa; Chordata; Mammalia; Primates; Hominidae
Description: long non-coding RNA NONHSAT160115.1
Source: RNAcentral
CUCAGGUUUAUUUGUACAAAUAGCACAGGAGGUGAGGACCCCAGCCCCAUGCAGACGGCAGCCUGGGCAGGUUGCACCAGUCCUUGUGUCCUCACGUUGGCAGGCAGAUACCUACUCUGAAGCCUUUGUAGGAGCCUGAGCACCUUUGCGAACCUGAGCUGGAACUGAAGCUGGAGUUGCAGCCUGGGCCUUGGUUUGAUCCUUGUCCUUGUCGUUUGGCCGGCACAACCCAAGCCCCUUGGCAAUGCGGGCACAAGCACGCUUCCCAAGCUUGGGGUGGGCAAUGUAGGCAAGUCGAUGGAGCUUGCUGCUGACACCCUUUGGGAUCUUGGGCUUAACCUCCUUUACAAGGGCCUUCAUAGCCUCACCACGUGGACUGAUGGCCUGCCAAAGCCUGCAUCUUCUUUAGGCCCUUCUUGUUUUGCUUCUUGGCAAUGCACAUGUUCCUCAGGAAUUUGGGGUCCACCCCCUUGAGAGAGUCAUAUCUUUGUGAUCGGGUUUCUUAAUACCAUUUCUGUGCCAUUUUCGGGAAUGUUGUGUGUGGUGUGGUUCUUGGACUUGGCCAUGUCUGCACCCUAAGC